GACGAACGCUGGCGGCGUGCCUAAUACAUGCAAGUCGAACGCACUCUCGUUUAGAUUGAAGGAGCUUGCUCCUGAUUGAUAAACAUUUGAGUGAGUGGCGGACGGGUGAGUAACACGUGGGUAACCUGCCCUAAAGUGGGGGAUAACAUUUGGAAACAGAUGCUAAUACCGCAUAAAACCUAACACCGCAUGGUGUAGGGUUGAAAGAUGGUUUCGGCUAUCACUUUAGGAUGGACCCGCGGUGCAUUAAUUAGUUGGUGAGGUAAAGGCUCACCAAGACCGUGAUGCAUAGCCGACCUGAGAGGGUAAUCGGCCACACUGGGACUGAGACACGGCCCAGACUCCUACGGGAGGCAGCAGUAGGGAAUCUUCCACAAUGGACGAAAGUCUGAUGGAGCAACGCCGCGUGAGUGAAGAAGGUUUCGGAUCGUAAACCGCUGUCAGAGGGGAUGAAAUGUAUGUGGGCACUCCCAUGUAUUUGACAUAGCCUCAGAGGAAGCACGGG
This 505-nucleotide ribosomal RNA is filed under the name uncultured bacterium. Its description in RNAcentral is "bacterial SSU rRNA". It matches the Rfam family "Bacterial small subunit ribosomal RNA", at positions 28 to 496 of the family's 1533-position model. The record is from RNAcentral.